GUGGGCAGGUAAUGUUAUUCUUAUAGAAACUAUUCUGAUCUGAUGGACUCUCUAAUGAAAUUCUAGCUAAACAGAAUAGAAACAGCAUAUCGUAAAAGUAUAAUUUACAAGGAGGUUGUUGGGUCUCUUCUUUUUGUUUUUUCCAUUUUUCUGACUUGCUGGUCCAAUUCACUUUGGAUGCUACUUUUUGGCCCAUUUGGUUGGAUUUGUUAGUUCAAUUGAUGGUGUUGCAGUUGCUUUGGAUGAACAUUCCUGGAAAUUUGAGUGUUUGUUUUUCAGUUCAAGAAGAUGAUUAUUUCAUGCAGCGUU
Molecule: unclassified non-coding RNA, 309 nt
Filed under: Hevea brasiliensis (rubber tree)
Lineage: Eukaryota; Viridiplantae; Streptophyta; Magnoliopsida; Malpighiales; Euphorbiaceae
Source: RNAcentral